UAUUAUAAUAUUUUGACGUAAUAAAGACGAAGUCAUUUCAAAAAAAAUGUUGGCAUACGGCAAGCAAAUUUUACUCACACGACAGUAAAAGAAAUCAUUAUUUUGUUUAACUUGGUUUAAAUUUAUAAAAUGCAUACGUUUUUUAAUAUAAAGGUUAAUAAAAUUUAUCGGAUAUCGAUUCUGUAAAAGUAAUUCUUUAAUAAUUUUUAUAUUUUUUUGGUGAAAAUUUUGAUUUGAAAGUUUUAUGGACAUGUCAAUAUACCACUUGAUGAUUUAUUACACGCAGUGUCUUUUCUUUUUAAUAAUACUUUUUUUCAAUUCAAUAAUAAAUAUUAUAAACAAAUUUAUGGGACACCUAUGGGCUCACCUGUUUCAGGCCUUUUUGCGGAUUUAGUAAUGAAUGAUUUAGAAAUGAAUUGUUUGGGUGCAUUGUCGUUUAAACCGGUGUUCUAUUAUCGUUAUGUUGAUGAUACUAUUAUGUGCAUUCCGAGUGACAAAAUUUCCGAAACUUUGCCGAUUAUCAACUCUUAUGACGAAAGGUUACAAUUCAUAUAUGAAAUUGAAAACAAUAAUUCCAUUAGUUUUCUUGAUGUAUUACUUAUUAGGCAAAACAAUAUUUUGAUUACUGAUUGGUUUAUGAAACCUACUUAUUCUCGCACAUUUUUAAACUUUUUUUCUAAACAUCCAAUGUCACAAAAAAUUGUCAUUGUUUAUAAUUUAACUGACAGAGCCAUAAAACUUUCAAAUCAAAAUUUUCACCAAAAAAAUAUAAAAAUUAUUAAAGAAUUACUUUUACAGAAUGGAUAUCCGAUAAAUUUUAUUAACCUUUAUAUUAAAAAACGUAUGCAUUUUAUAAGUUUAAACCAAGUUAAACAAAAUAAUGAUUUCUUUUACUGUCGUGUGUGUAAAAUUUGCUUGCCGUAUGUCAACGACUUUUUUGAAAUAACUUCGUCUUUAUUACGUCAAAAUAAUAUAAUAACUAUUCCAUGUAACAUUAAUAACAAUCAACAUAUCAAAAAAGGCAAAGACUCAACCAAAAAAUAUGACUAAUCAAACUGUGUAUAUAAACUUUGUUGCAAUAAUUGUCCUGCGUGUUACAUUGGUGAAUCAAAAAGAAUGGUUAAAAAGAGAAUGAAUGAACACAUGAAAUCAAAAACCAAUGUGAUAUUUCAACAUAAGCGUGAUUUUAAGCACGAUUUUGAUUAUGAAAAUUUUUCUAUUCUUGAUAAUGAACCUGUGUGGCAGAAGAGAUUGAUUUCCGAAAUGAUUCAUAUUCACUUACAGAAACAAAUUUUAAAUAGAAAAGAUGACACAAAUAAUCUUAACCAAUAUUACAAAAACUUUUUCAAAAAAUUCAAAAUGUCACAAAAUUAACUUUUAAAACUUUAUUUCCUUUUAUAUUUCGAAAAUAAAUCUCUUCAUUUGCGUUUAUAUUUGUAUUAGUGCAUUAGAGUGUGUUUGUAUGUAUAUUCUUAUUAAUUGAUUCUAUUGUUUUCAUGUAAGUUCACUGACCUUUGAUUUUAUUAUAUUGCAAUGUACAAACACGUAUAUAUAUUUGUGUAUGUGUAUAUGUGUGUGUAUUUAUUUAUAUUCAUCAAUUAAUUGUUUGUAAUUCCUUCAGUCAAUCGAACGUUCUUGUGUUCAUCACACGGAAAAUCGAAAUUUCUAAUGGUGGUAGGCCGUAAGCGUGACUGUCCUUUUCGCACUCGCAGAUUGAUUCUGAGGCCAAUAUAUAUAUAUUACACCUGUAUUAGACCCUACGAAGGAUUACCACAAGCAAUACGAACCCUUGAACAAUAACCUUCGUAAAUGAGGGACACAGGUAAUAAUAUUUUCUUUCUUCCUUCAUCGCAAGGAAAACUAUAGAUAAAAGUAAAUAUAUAUGUAUAUAUAUAUAUAUAUAUAUAUAUAUAUUUACUUUCAUAAUUGAAACACAAAAGGUAACGCCUGGGUAACGGCGCCAGUAACGCCGGCUCUGGUUUCUCUCUUUCUAAAGGCAAUAUAAAUAAGAAUGUCUCUCUUUACCUAAUUUGCAUAUCUACUCGUUUCAUAUUAAGGAUCAAAUGGUUUGUUUGUUCAUUUUGUUUGUAGCUCAUUGUUUCACAUUUUAAUUCAAAUUCCGGCCGGCCACCUAAGGAAUUCCAACUUUUCCAAAAUAAGAACCACCCUAAUAAUUAUGUAUAUUUAAGACUUUUAGACUCGAUUUCUAAUUUCAAAGACUCAGGCCAAUAUUCGAGGUAAUAAUGUUUCACUACUUUCACGAAAGCAUAAUAUUAAUGAGAACAAAAGUGGGUCAAAGUAAAAUUAAAAAACUAAUACAAUUAAACAUUUAAUUUUUUGAAAACAGAAGUUUUAUUCCCAGAAAACAAUGCAUAAAGUCAACAUAAGGAAACUUGCAAGAAAAAAUAAAGAAAUUAUCUGCACUCUCCAUAUCUCCAACCUGAUUCUUUGUGACAAUAUCCAGAGUCACAGUUGCCCAAACUUCCGUCAGGUUGACACCGACCAUUUUUAGGUAUUGC
This is a long non-coding RNA of Leptopilina heterotoma, 2519 nucleotides long. RefSeq lists it as uncharacterized. The record is from RefSeq and is a predicted model, not a curated record. Lineage: Eukaryota; Metazoa; Arthropoda; Insecta; Hymenoptera; Figitidae. The transcript has 2 exons.